GAUGAACGCUAGCUACAGGCUUAACACAUGCAAGUCGAGGGGCAGCAUGGUCUUAGCUUGCUAAGGCCGAUGGCGACCGGCGCACGGGUGAGUAACACGUAUCCAACCUGCCGUCUACUCUUGGACAGCCUUCUGAAAGGAAGAUUAAUACAAGAUGGCAUCAUGAGUCCGCAUGUUCACAUGAUUAAAGGUAUUCCGGUAGACGAUGGGGAUGCGUUCCAUUAGAUAGUAGGCGGGGUAACGGCCCACCUAGUCUUCGAUGGAUAGGGGUUCUGAGAGGAAGGUCCCCCACAUUGGAGCUGAGACACGGUCCAAACUCCUACGGGAGGCAGCAGUGAGGAAUAUUGGUCAAUGGACGAGAGUCUGAACCAGCCAAGUAGCGUGAAGGAUGAAAGGUCCUAUGGAUUGUAAACUUCUUUUAUACGGGAAUAAAGUGCAGUAUGCAUACUGUUUUUGUAAUGUACCGUAUGAAUAAGCAUCGGCUAACUCC
This 490-nucleotide ribosomal RNA is filed under the name uncultured bacterium. RNAcentral's name for it is "bacterial SSU rRNA". It matches the Rfam family "Bacterial small subunit ribosomal RNA", at positions 28 to 504 of the family's 1533-position model. The record is from RNAcentral.